This is an RNA transcript of Rhincodon typus (whale shark), 2986 nucleotides long. It is a transcript of the gene named mirror-image polydactyly 1, with no coding region annotated. The record is from RefSeq and is a predicted model, not a curated record. Lineage: Eukaryota; Metazoa; Chordata; Chondrichthyes; Orectolobiformes; Rhincodontidae. The transcript has 11 exons.
CUUUGUUUUUCUUCCUGAUUUAUAGCAUCCGCAGUUCUUCUGGUUUUUAUCUAGCAACUACAGUUUAAUUUGCUUUUACACUGACUACUCCUACUUGUAUUAUUUCAAAAACAAGCCGCACACUAGCAAAAAUUUAAAUCGUCUUUUCUCUAGUUUCAGAUACAAACUGACCUGUUGUACUUUCUGCCCACACUGUUCAAUCUACAGAUGACCGUAAUAAUCUGUGGCGGUCGCAACCAGAUAAGGCACGGCGUGUUCAGUCGUUUCCAUGAAAAAUUAAAUGCAAGUUAGCGCGGCAGUAGAAAGUGUCAGCAUAAACUAUCGAUGAAAUGAGACCCGUUGCUUCUCACGUUUCAAGCAGUGGAUUACAGAAACAACUCCAAUACUGUCUGUAACAACGAACAAACACAGUAUACGCUGCCCUAAACAAGGUGCACGAUAAUACCAAAAAGGCGGCAGGUGACGAUUUCUCGUGACCCGGAAGCGUUGUGUACCGUCGCUCGAGCCCGUAUUCGAAUGAUCGACGGUUAGGAUUGCCUGUUGAUACUGCGAGCGAACGGGAGUUGGAGCAGGACUGCUGCGGUAGCGAUGAGCUGCAACCAACAUAAGUUACAGUCUACAGGGAGGGCAGAAAACGGAGGUAGUAAUACACAAGAUGACCCUUUCACCCCAGAUCAAGUUACCAAACUCUUAAAUGAUAACGGGAGAGUAACAUUCCUGUUGAAAGAGUUGAAUGCAGUGGCAGAAACUAAUAAAAAGCUUCAGGAUAAACUGUCAGAAAAAGAGCACGAAUUAGAAAUUCUAAAGAUUGACACUGAAUUACAAGAAAAAACAAUAGAAGCCAAAAUAGCUGAAAAGGCUACAGUUCUGAUUGAAGAAAUCUAUCAUGCACAAAAGGAACGGGAUGCAGCUGUUAUGGCUCGACUUAGACUUGCCAAUGAAGAAAGAGAUGAAGCCCUUAUCCGAGCUAAAUGGCUAGAACAGGCAUUUGAAGGGUUGGAAAAUAUUAACCCUGAAGAAAAUGACAUGACAUUACAGGAAUUACUGAACCGAAUCAACAAUGCAAAUACGAGGAGAUCUAUUGACAAGAAUGAAGAUUUAAUUGUGGAUCGAAUACACAAAGCCAGAGAGCGAAAGAAGAAAAUCACUGCUGAAGAAAUUAAUGCAGUUAUUGAGGAGAGAGAUUAUGCUUUGGGAAGAUGCAAACAGUUGGAGCAGGAACUUCAUCUUUUGAAAGAGCAGAAUGAGGCAUUGGCAAAUAAUACGACACAACUGACGACUGAAAACAACCAAGAACGUGCCUUGGAGGCUGAAUUACUUACAGCACAAAAAGAAAGAGACAAAGCUUUAGAGCGAUGUAAGGAACAAGAGGAAGAAAUUCAGACACUGAGACUUUAUUACAGCUUACACAAAUCAUUAUCUCAAGAGGUUAGUGUCACCGACAAGUUCAACACCGCGCUAGGCACUUAUGAUGAUGCUUUAUGCACUAGCAAGGGCAUGAUGUCAGCCACGCACCACCAAAAUGAAGAUCUAGCAAACCAGUUACAACUGGCUAUAGCAGAACAGGCAAACAUGAAGAUUAAACUGCAGCAAGCCUUGGAAGCCAAAAUCCAACUGAGUGAAAAAGUUCAGAAUACGCACUAAAUUUGGUGCCUGCAAAUCGAUGGAGGGAGUGUUCUGGCCUUCAAAUCUGAGCAGAUGACCUCAGAGGCGUUUGUGACUGGACGGUCCAGAAUUCUGUGCCUGUCCUGCCCUAUUGUUGGAACGGCUGGUAGACGUCCUGAGGAAAAAGGUUGGAGCAGGCAACAUCAGGACGGUGACUUGAUUGAGUAGCAGUGUCUGACGAUGUAGUCACAUCUGGUGACCAGGCCAUUCUAUUCAUCUUUCUACAAAUAAAAAAGCCUGGUUUUAGCAAACAAUUGUUGUAACCGCCACACUGAAAUAACAUUCCAAAAACAUCCUAAUCUAAUUUUUUUGGAACCUGGAAACUUGGUCUUAUUACAUGUUGACUAAAUUUGUAGACAUGCAGAAAACAUUCUAAAAUGCACCAAUUUUUAACUAGGAAUUUCUGAGAUUUAUACCAAUGCAUAAAAAAUAUGGAACUAUUUGUAUUUCUUAAGAUAAUUUAAGUUUUUACUAACUUACCUCCCUUAUAUUCAAUUUAAAUUCAUAGCAUUUUUCACUUGCCAGUUAGAAAAAUUCUCACCUAUCGGACAAAAACAAAGUUGUAUUUUUGAUUUUUAAGUGUAAUUGUAGUGUGAUGUUGUUCAAUGCCUGGAAUAUUUUACCAUGAUGUGCAUUGAUACUUGUUUUAGUUUCAUAUUUAACCUUUUGGUGUUUAUUACAGUCUAUCAGUGGCAUAUUUUAAAUUUGUUCAGAAUUCAUGCCUUAAUCACUGGAGUGAGAUUAAAAAUUGUGUAAAUGUACUAAUGUUGAGAACAUUUUUGACUUUUGUGGUGUUUGGGGAAUGAAGGUGAAUUGUGGGCUUUUCAACACAGUUCAGUCUUCUGUGUCUAUUUUAAAUGACGUUAUAAAUAUUGAGGAAUGAAAGAUAUCCAAAAUUAAAGAAUAAAUUGACAAGUGUAAAGUUGUAUGGUGAAAUAUAUGGUGAAUGUAUUUGAAAGUGAUGUGAUAAUUCUAUAAAAGGCACACCAGAAAAUGUGAGCACUUGAUAUCAGUUCAGACACAAAGCUAGGGUUGACAAUUGGUGCUUUUGUAGCAAUAUCAAAAUGUGUUAAUGUUUAAUUUGUGCCAAACAACAGAUUAACAUGCAUGAAAAAAAUCUCCUAUCCCUAAAUGAGAUUAUUUUAAUACUUACAAAGUACACUAAAACGUUGAUUGCAGUUCUGACAGCUAAAAUAGAAGUAUAAGGAAGGUGUGCUAGCAUAUUCAGACGCAUACAAUGUAUUCAAAUUUGUAUUUGUACCACCUAUAAAUCGGCCUGCACUCUAUGUAUUCUAAUUAUGUGAAGACACGAACUUUUUAA